This 309-nucleotide ribosomal RNA is filed under the name Streptococcus sp. oral taxon C08. RNAcentral describes it as "bacterial SSU rRNA". It matches the Rfam family "Bacterial small subunit ribosomal RNA", at positions 181 to 478 of the family's 1533-position model. The record is from RNAcentral. Lineage: Bacteria; Bacillati; Bacillota; Bacilli; Lactobacillales; Streptococcaceae.
AGAUGUUGCAUGACAUUUGCUCAAAAGGUGCAAUUGCAUCACUACCAGAUGGACCUGCGUUGUAUUAGCUAGUUGGUGAGGUAACGGCUCACCAAGGCAACGAUACAUAGCCGACCUGAGAGGGUGAUCGGCCACACUGGGACUGAGACACGGCCCAGACUCCUACGGGAGGCAGCAGUAGGGAAUCUUCGGCAAUGGACGGAAGUCUGACCGAGCAACGCCGCGUGAGUGAAGAAGGUUUUCGGAUCGUAAAGCUCUGUUGUAAGAGAAGAACGAGUGUGAGAGUGGAAAGUUCACACUGUGACGUAU